CUUGGGUGCCCUUCAUUCCACCGGAAUCUGUCACCGCAAAAACCGGAUUUCUGUGAAAUGAAGCCCACCAGGCA
Molecule: microRNA precursor, 74 nt
Organism: Anolis carolinensis (green anole)
Lineage: Eukaryota; Metazoa; Chordata; Lepidosauria; Squamata; Anolidae
Gene: aca-mir-205b
Product: aca-mir-205b
Source: Ensembl